UAAUAUUAUGUAUCUGUAUCCAUAUAUAAAAGGACUCCCCAACUCCUGCAACUCUAAUUUGUUAUCCAUGUUAGGAAUGUCGUUAAAAACCAAUUGAGGAUAGAUAUAGGCACGAUGGAUGUUUGGUGUAAUUUUCACCAUUUCAUAAACAUUUCCAUGAUUCUUCCCAGAAGUUUCUAGAGGGAGAUUAUCCCAAAUAGCGGGUAGUUGGAUUGGGGGAUUUCACGGUGGAAAAAGAUGGUGGUGUGGCGAACAGUAAAGGGAAUGAGGCGAGCAUGAUGAGGAAUCUGGCAAGGUCAUCGGAGAAGAGAGCGGAGCAGAGGUUGCUGAAGAUGGCGGUGCUGGGCCUGAUGUAGCCUUUUAAGAUGCCAAAGACUAGGCCAUGGUUGCGGCGGAAGUUGUGGAUGCAUGUUGCUAACAGCAUCGUGUUCAUGCAUGUCGUGUUGCUGCCUCUCAUACACAGGAAUAUGCACAUCUGAAACUCAACGUCUUCUCAGUGAACCAGCUUGGAUUUCAUGGAUCCUGACAGUACUCCGGCUAGCCAUGGAAUCAAGAUACAUCGAAGCUAUAUUACUGACAGCAGUUCAUGUGAUACUAUUGGAUUAUGGAACAAUCAUGGAAAUGGAGAAAUGUCAUGGUAAACCAAUGCUAGCAUCUGGGAAAAUAUGCAUUAAUGAUGACAAAUGACAAAAUUUACUUGAACAUUUUUUUUUGCUAAUUUUUUUGACAUCAGAACUGUUAAGUGAAGCUUUCCCAUUAUAUAAGAAACAGUGUUCCAAAGGCUGUUGUUUUAGGAAGUUGAGUUGACGAUUUCGAGAUUUGGUGAGAGACCAAAAUGGGAAGCCUAGGAGAGGAAGAGCUGGUUCAAAUGGAAGUUCUAGGGAAACACAUGGAUGAGGAGGCUAAUACAUGAGAAGAUAUUAAUGUAUUUGAAAGAUAUGGGAACUGCUGGGCAUCAUACAAGCAAUUUGAAGAAGUUGGUAGUGAUGAAACUGAGAAACGAUGGUUAUGAAGCUAUCUUUGCAAAACUUCAUGGGUCUGUAAUUUUAGCCAUAACAAAGGGGUACAGGUUUGCUGUGAACAGGCCAGCCUAUUUCUAUUGGUAGUCAUGGCACUUCAUUGCAGGGCGUGUCCCAUGAGGGGCUGGUCAGAUUCUCGAUAUUGGGUCAUUGUUUUUCCUUAUGGAACAUUAACUUCAUCAGUGGUGGCUUGUGUACAAGCCAUGGUGGGGCUUGGAGUCGCGUCACUUCCUGUUAUGUCAAGAAAACAAGAGGGGUGGAAGUGGAGUUGGCUGUUGCUUACCUCUGGGGUCCCUCUUCUCUCAUUUGUUGACCUUAAAAUGGUUUGAUGCAACGACCCAAAGGCCAUCAACUGUUUACCAGACAUACCAUGAGUGAUUGUGGAGUUUAUCUUCUGUGCUGAGGAACAAAUAAAAAUGCAAAGGAGAUGAUAUUGUUUUGGAAGGAAAGAGUUUUGAUGUUACAUCUGAAAACGAUACUGUUUCAGAAGGAAAGAUUAUUGAUCUUGCAUCAGAAAUGAUAAUGUUUUGGAAGGAAAGAGGGUUUGAUCCUGCAUCAGAAAAUGGUACUGUUUUGGAAGGAAAUAGCACUGAAACUAUAGAUCAGCUUGCUAUAGAGGAGGGAACAGAACACACUACUAUUCCGAUUGGAGAUCAAUCUCCUCGAUUAUCAUUCAAUCACCACCGUUAUCAACAGUUGUGCUGGCGUCUUCAACCUCACCUCUCCCUGCAUUGUCAACCAAGUUUUCGACCCUCAGGUAUAUGCGUACUCGCUAAAUCCAAUUAGUAUUAUUUCAGCUUUAAUAACAGAUCAUCUAUUACUCUGAUGUUUGUUGGUACUGUGUUGGUGGCUAGAUAUUUGUUGCCAUUAGAUGAACCCAAAAGAAACUUUUUUCUUUCUUUUUUUUAAAAUUUUUUUAUUAUUGUAUAUGUAGUAGAUUCUGCCUUUCAUUGAAAAGGGGUUAUUCUUUUGUUUUUAUCUUCUUUUGAUGCCCAUGUGAGAUGGGGUUUUGAACUUCACAUUUCAUAAUCCUGUUGAGCCAUUGUUUAAAAGCAUCAAUAAAUGAAGAGUAUGACCCUGAUUGUCAAGUGUGGUAUUGAAAUGGAUGUUUAUUGGAACAAUUUAUCUACCACAUUAAUCUUUAUUUAGAUAUAUAAUCAAGUUGAAAAAGUUUUUGUAUCCAGUUUUGCAUUGUUGGGAUGCACCUGUGCCAUUUUAACCCUUCCCUCUUUCAUAGAAUGAAAAAAUAAAUACAUCUCAUAACCUUGACAUAGGCAUCUUAAGUGAUUUUAAUUUGUUUACAAAACACAUUCCUUGAUGCUUACAUAUAACAGAUAAUACUGUCUUUCUUGGGUCCUAUACUAGGUAAAUUAUCAUAUCACAGGACAAUGUUGGCAUUUUUAAAUUAUACUAUUAAAUGUAUACAAACUUCUUUUUGCUCUAUUGAAGCUUUCUUUAUAUUUCAAAAAGAAGAAAAAGGAUUAAAAAUGCUUCAGAUGUUGGCAGUUCUUUUUAAGGUUUUCACAUUUCUUGGAUAAGUCUAUGGCUGAUUGUGAACUUGACUGGAGUCACCCAUGUGGUUUGGCCUUAUGCUUGCUAAUUUAUGAGGGAAAUUAGCAUUGGUGAUAGCAGCACAGAAAGUCUUUAUAUUGAAUUUGUUUAUGAUGAUUUGUCAAUAGUUCAAUUGGGUUACCAAAGGGAAGUAGGACUUCUUCCGAUGAGACUUUAGCUAAAGCUAUAUGCGCCUGCCAUUCACAACCUUUGUCCAUGAUGGAGGUAAAUUAACUUCAGCAUAUAAUCUUCUCAUAAAACUUAUAUUUCUUUGUAUUUUACAUUUCUGGUUAAUUACUAGUCAUUUUACAUCAUAGUAAAGCAUUUUGUCAUUCAUUUUUUUUCUGGAGAACUGAUGGAGCAAUAGGUUAGGUAGUUUACCUUCAGUUGGUUUUUGGGAUAAAUUAUCACAAAGGUCUCCGUGCUUGAAGGUAUGGCAAUAUGAGGAUCUUUUGUGGAAUAUAGCUUUUUCUUGGUUCUAUACAGUAUGCUCAGAAUGCAUCAAAUAUAAUCAGUCUGGCUGAGCUUCUUGGCACUCGCAUUUCUGAUCAUGCUCAAGAGACACCAAACGAGCUUUUUGAGGAUAAGAUCAAGUGCAUGUCUACCAUAUAUUGCAAGCUUGCAGAUCCACCUUUGAUCCAAAAUGGCUUUUCUACUCCCAAUUCAUCCAUGUCACCAGCCAUUGCUUUUUCCCACUGGAUCAGCAUGACAUUUGGAGUCUAGGGUUUAGAAAUAAUUCAUCUUUUGAUGUACGGUUAGAUAACCCUUUCCAUGUGGAAGGACUUGAGGAGUUUAAUGGACCAUAUAGCACAAUGGUUAAAGUGCCAUGGAUUUUCAGAGAUAGUCAGAAACUGGUGAUGUGGAACACGUGCAUGGUCAUUCUUUAUCACUCUCGGUUUAACUUUUAAUCUGUCAUAUAAUUGCAUUGGUGUUGAUGAAUGUUUCUGUUUUAACAGGUUCCACAUGUCAACUGAACUGACUACCAGUUAAAUGACAUUUCUGAUGAUGGAUUUGUAAGUUCAUUUGCUUCUUUUUUGCUUGAUGUUUUAUGUAUCUGUUCAAUAGCUACUGGUGAGGCUUUCUUGCAACUUUUUUUUACCCGCCGACUUAGAAAUAUACUAUUCUAGAAAUACAAUGGAUAACAUUAGAGCUUCCUUUUAAGUCGUUAAACCUUCCUGUAGCUGCAAUUUUUACAUAGAAGUACAGUGGAUGGCAAUAGCCAAUUUGAUAAAUUCUGGAUGCUCUAGAGUGAAACCUUUCCUUUACGUCAUUACGUUCCUUCCUACAGUAUACUCAGGCACUCUCUUUUUUGUGC
Molecule: non-coding RNA, 3885 nt
Organism: Durio zibethinus
Lineage: Eukaryota; Viridiplantae; Streptophyta; Magnoliopsida; Malvales; Malvaceae
Source: RefSeq, a predicted model, not a curated record